UUGAAUUGGAAUAUUAAGAGAAGAAUAUUUUAGUAACUUUAAAAGCUUAUCAAAUUCGAUUAGACAGAAUAAUUAUCCGGAAAUACGUACAAUUAUCAAUUGGUUCAUACUUUUGAUCCGCGAUAAAUUAAUCUUCGUAUUGAAUCAGGGUUGUAGUGUGAAUAUGCGUAUAUACAUAGACGUCUAAAUAACUGAAUAAUUUGUUUUUUAUUUUAAGAAAAAGAUAGCAUGUUAUCCGCUUCGUUUAUUUCUUUUAGAAAUAAACUUUGCUGAAAUUUUGAAUCAACUAAAAUUCGAAUAUUUUAGUAACUUGAAAAGCUUAUCAAAUUCGAUUAGACAGAAUAAUUAUCCAGAAAUACAAUUAUCAAUUGGUUCAUACUUUUGAUCCACGGUAAAUUAAUCUUCAUAUUGAAUCAGGCUUGUAGUGUGAAUAUGCUUAUACGCAUAGACGUCUAAAUAACUAAACGAUUUGUUAUAUCUCUCUUAUCAAAAGAAUAUCGUCGUUUACAGCUAAAUUACAAAAAUAUUGAUCCUAAACUGAACGUACAUAGUGCAGUUGGUUAAGAACUUGAUAGUUGAUAUCGGAGGUCCCAACUUCGAAAUCUCGUUGUUUUACAUUUCUUGUUGACUGUGUCUUUUUUUCCGGGAGAAAAAUAUCGCAUAGAUUUCGUUCCUACCAACCAUCUCAGACAAUUACUUCAGUUUGAUUUAAUACUUUAUUUUUAUCCUAAAACGUGGAAAGAAACAUUUCAAAAACAAAUUGACAAAA
Molecule: long non-coding RNA, 769 nt
Filed under: Ananas comosus (pineapple)
Lineage: Eukaryota; Viridiplantae; Streptophyta; Magnoliopsida; Poales; Bromeliaceae
Description: long non-coding RNA (ACOM_LNC003001)
Source: RNAcentral